This 1134-nucleotide long non-coding RNA is filed under the name Oreochromis niloticus (Nile tilapia). RNAcentral describes it as "lncRNA (ENSONIG00000041887.1)". Lineage: Eukaryota; Metazoa; Chordata; Actinopteri; Cichliformes; Cichlidae. The record is from RNAcentral.
AUGGGAGGGAGGGGAAGUCAAGGGAGUGGCUUCUUGGUAUUAUACGUGUGUGUGUGUGUGUGGUGUUUGUGGUGGUGUAAAUGUUUGUGCGUGGGUGUGUAUGAUGUGGCUGCGGGAGCAGAGCGUCAGAAUAGCGGACGUCCUGACUCCAAGAGGGUUACUGCUGAUAGAGAGGGAGAGAGAGAAAGAGAGAGAGGCAGUCAGUCGCGUGAAGAGAAGGCAUGUAAAUAUCUUUCCUCGUCAGUCUGUGCUCAUUUCUGUCUGAGCAGAGAAUGGGAUGUGCCUGCCUCUGUGUUUACAUUUCAGGAGACCGAGAAGGAGAGCCGCAGUGAGCGUAUCCGAUCUCCAAUCUGGGAGUUAAGCAGCCAGCAGACACAACAAAACAGAGAGCAACAGAGAAUAGGUUCCAACUCAGGGAUGGUGUUGGUUCUGGAUCACCUGGCAAAGGAUGACGGACCUCUGUUGAUCCAGCCUCAGCGAGAAGCUGUGACCAAGGAGGCCGACCUGGUUAUGUCUCACUGUCAGAGGUCAGACUCCUCCGAUCUUAGCGCAGCCUCGAUGCUUUCCAAGCCCAAUCUGGAUUCUGUGGCCUCAGAGAAAGGUCUGGGCUCAGCUUACAGAGCCCGGCUGGACUCCGGAGCCUCAGACAAGAGCCAGAGUUCCUCCCAGCGUGGUCGGCUGGACUCCGGGGCAUCAGACAGAAGCAUCAACUCCCAGUCCUGUGCCAGACAGAGACUGGGCUCAGAUGUCUCGGAUUCAUGCGUCAGACCCCGUCUGGGCUCCGAGACUUCAGACAGCAUCGGCCUGUUGUCAAGGAAGCGGACGGUCUCUGGCACAUCUGAUCAGAGUGCAAGCAUGUCCUCAGAGGAGCAGGCGCCAUCGGAGGAGGCGGAGGUAGCCAGGAGUGAAUCGACUUGCAGCACAGAUUCAGAAACUGACAGCAGAAGCCGAAGUUCAGCCGGUACCCAAGCUGAGUCUAACCAGGAGGAGCCUGAUGGGGCGGUUUUAUCUCGGAGAGAUCCCGUGAAUGGCCUGCUCAGCGGGAAAACUGACAUCCAGAGGCAAAAGGUGGAGUGUGUGUGUGUGCGUUUGCAUCUGUGUGUGCUUCAGGAUUCAGUCAUAUUCCUAAAUUAA